Long non-coding RNA from Sardina pilchardus (European sardine), 713 nucleotides. RefSeq lists it as uncharacterized. The record is from RefSeq and is a predicted model, not a curated record. NCBI's taxonomy places the organism in Eukaryota, Metazoa, Chordata, Actinopteri, Clupeiformes, Clupeidae. The transcript is spliced from 3 exons.
UGCCUUUAUAGAGCCCCUUGGCUCCCUAAAUAGAAGACGGUGAAAGAUUAAUAACAGGGGUACAAAAAGAGGGUAUAUAACAAGUUUCAUGUUACUGUUGUCUUCAUUCAGCUUAAUUCGCGCACUCACCUCUUUGGCAAGCGUCUGCUUGAAACAAUCAAAAGUACCAGCAUAAAGAGGGGAUUGGCCCGGAGCUGGUUUCGCCUGGGUUUGUAUACGCACCUAAGAACAGUUACACCGGACAGCAAAUUGCUAAUUAAACCACCUACUACAAAAGGAACAGAUGGCAGGUUGUGACCAAAACUUCACGGUUAUUUGGAUUUCCAGAGUUCUAUUGGUCUUAGAGUCUAAACUGGUUGGUGAAAACUACAGAACUUUCUCUUGUGCCCGUCUCUAACCAUGCUGGAAUAUUUCCUUCACUGCUCUCCAUGGACAUCAUUUAUGUUCUCUUGCUCCAUUGCAAUCUGUUGCCUUUUGAUCAUGUCAGACGAAAGCUCAUCACUCCAAAUAUAGAACGAUGGGACAACAAGCACUUCUUCAAUGUUCAGCAAUAAGGUGUUUCAUUUAUACUAGGCAGGUUAACCAGUUUACUUUCAGUUUUUUGGGACCAAUGCUGCUGGAAUAAGACCAUAAAGUCUCUGAGCAUGCAGAUGUUGUGAGAACUUGAUUAUUCAUUUCCAAAAGUCUUGUGUGUACACUUCCUAAUAAAUAAA